RNAcentral lists this ribosomal RNA (2923 nucleotides) under Klebsiella pneumoniae. RNAcentral describes it as "23S ribosomal RNA". It matches the Rfam family "Bacterial large subunit ribosomal RNA". Lineage: Bacteria; Pseudomonadati; Pseudomonadota; Gammaproteobacteria; Enterobacterales; Enterobacteriaceae. The record is from RNAcentral.
GGGUUGUGAGGUUAAGCGACUAAGCGUACACGGUGGAUGCCCUGGCAGUCAGAGGCGAUGAAGGACGUGCUAAUCUGCGAAAAGCGUCGGUAAGGUGAUAUGAACCGUUAUAACCGGCGAUGUCCGAAUGGGGAAACCCAGUGCAAUUCGUUGCACUAUCGUUAACUGAAUACAUAGGUUAACGAGGCGAACCGGGGGAACUGAAACAUCUAAGUACCCCGAGGAAAAGAAAUCAACCGAGAUUCCCCCAGUAGCGGCGAGCGAACGGGGAGCAGCCCAGAGUCUGAAUCAGCUUGUGUGUUAGUGGAACGGUCUGGAAAGUCCGACGGUACAGGGUGAUAGUCCCGUACACCAAAAUGCACAGGCUGUGAACUCGAAGAGUAGGGCGGGACACGUGGUAUCCUGUCUGAAUAUGGGGGGACCAUCCUCCAAGGCUAAAUACUCCUGACUGACCGAUAGUGAACCAGUACCGUGAGGGAAAGGCGAAAAGAACCCCGGCGAGGGGAGUGAAAAAGAACCUGAAACCGUGUACGUACAAGCAGUGGGAGCACCUUCGGGUGUGACUGCGUACCUUUUGUAUAAUGGGUCAGCGACUUAUAUUCUGUAGCAAGGUUAACCGUAUAGGGGAGCCGCAGGGAAACCGAGUCUUAACUGGGCGUUAAGUUGCAGGGUAUAGACCCGAAACCCGGUGAUCUAGCCAUGGGCAGGUUGAAGGUUGGGUAACACUAACUGGAGGACCGAACCGACUAAUGUUGAAAAAUUAGCGGAUGACUUGUGGCUGGGGGUGAAAGGCCAAUCAAACCGGGAGAUAGCUGGUUCUCCCCGAAAGCUAUUUAGGUAGCGCCUCGUGAAUUCAUCUUCGGGGGUAGAGCACUGUUUCGGCUAGGGGGUCAUCCCGACUUACCAACCCGAUGCAAACUACGAAUACCGAAGAAUGUUAUCACGGGAGACACACGGCGGGUGCUAACGUCCGUCGUGAAGAGGGAAACAACCCAGACCGCCAGCUAAGGUCCCAAAGUCAUGGUUAAGUGGGAAACGAUGUGGGAAGGCACAGACAGCCAGGAUGUUGGCUUAGAAGCAGCCAUCAUUUAAAGAAAGCGUAAUAGCUCACUGGUCGAGUCGGCCUGCGCGGAAGAUGUAACGGGGCUAAACCAUGCACCGAAGCUGCGGCAGCGACACUAUGUGUUGUUGGGUAGGGGAGCGUUCUGUAAGCCUGCGAAGGUGACCUGUGAGGGUUGCUGGAGGUAUCAGAAGUGCGAAUGCUGACAUAAGUAACGAUAAAGCGGGUGAAAAGCCCGCUCGCCGGAAGACCAAGGGUUCCUGUCCAACGUUAAUCGGGGCAGGGUGAGUCGACCCCUAAGGCGAGGCCGAAAGGCGUAGUCGAUGGGAAACAGGUUAAUAUUCCUGUACUUGGUGUUACUGCGAAGGGGGGACGGAGAAGGCUAUGUUAGCCGGGCGACGGUUGUCCCGGUUUAAGCAUGUAGGCUGGUUGUCCAGGCAAAUCCGGAUAAUCAAGGCUGAGGUGUGAUGACGAGGCACUACGGUGCUGAAGUAACAAAUGCCCUGCUUCCAGGAAAAGCCUCUAAGCAUCAGGUAACAUUAAAUCGUACCCCAAACCGACACAGGUGGUCAGGUAGAGAAUACCAAGGCGCUUGAGAGAACUCGGGUGAAGGAACUAGGCAAAAUGGUGCCGUAACUUCGGGAGAAGGCACGCUGGUGUGUAGGUGAAGUCCCUGCGGAUGGAGCUGAGACCAGUCGAAGAUACCAGCUGGCUGCAACUGUUUAUUAAAAACACAGCACUGUGCAAACACGAAAGUGGACGUAUACGGUGUGACGCCUGCCCGGUGCCGGAAGGUUAAUUGAUGGGGUUAUCCGUAAGGAGAAGCUCUUGAUCGAAGCCCCGGUAAACGGCGGCCGUAACUAUAACGGUCCUAAGGUAGCGAAAUUCCUUGUCGGGUAAGUUCCGACCUGCACGAAUGGCGUAAUGAUGGCCAGGCUGUCUCCACCCGAGACUCAGUGAAAUUGAACUCGCUGUGAAGAUGCAGUGUACCCGCGGCAAGACGGAAAGACCCCGUGAACCUUUACUAUAGCUUGACACUGAACAUUGAGCCUUGAUGUGUAGGAUAGGUGGGAGGCUUUGAAGCGUGGACGCCAGUCUGCGUGGAGCCAACCUUGAAAUACCACCCUUUAAUGUUUGAUGUUCUAACGUUGGCCCCUUAUCGGGGUUGCGGACAGUGUCUGGUGGGUAGUUUGACUGGGGCGGUCUCCUCCCAAAGCGUAACGGAGGAGCACGAAGGUUAGCUAAUCCUGGUCGGACAUCAGGAGGUUAGUGCAAUGGCAUAAGCUAGCUUGACUGCGAGCGUGACGGCGCGAGCAGGUGCGAAAGCAGGUCAUAGUGAUCCGGUGGUUCUGAAUGGAAGGGCCAUCGCUCAACGGAUAAAAGGUACUCCGGGGAUAACAGGCUGAUACCGCCCAAGAGUUCAUAUCGACGGCGGUGUUUGGCACCUCGAUGUCGGCUCAUCACAUCCUGGGGCUGAAGUAGGUCCCAAGGGUAUGGCUGUUCGCCAUUUAAAGUGGUACGCGAGCUGGGUUUAGAACGUCGUGAGACAGUUCGGUCCCUAUCUGCCGUGGGCGCUGGAGAAUUGAGGGGGGCUGCUCCUAGUACGAGAGGACCGGAGUGGACGCAUCACUGGUGUUCGGGUUGUCAUGCCAAUGGCACUGCCCGGUAGCUAAAUGCGGAAGAGAUAAGUGCUGAAAGCAUCUAAGCACGAAACUUGCCCCGAGAUGAGUUCUCCCUGAGACUUUAAGUCUCCUGAAGGAACGUUGAAGACGACGACGUUGAUAGGCCGGGUGUGUAAGCGCAGCGAUGCGUUGAGCUAACCGGUACUAAUGAACCGUGAGGCUUAAUCUUACAACGCCGAAG